GGCGCGGGCCGCGCAGCCGCCUCCGGGCGCGCCGCGCGACCGUGCCAUCCUCGCGGGCAGCCCGUCGGCCUUCACUGGUCGGCGGUGUCACCCGCGUCCUUUACUGUGAAAAAAUUAGAGUGUUUAAAGCAGGCUUCACGCUUGAAUACAUUAGCAUGGAAUAAUGAGAUAGGACUUCGGUGCUAUUUCGUUGGUUGCGUACCGAGGUA
RNAcentral lists this ribosomal RNA (209 nucleotides) under uncultured fungus. RNAcentral describes it as "partial small subunit ribosomal RNA". The stretch from base 100 to 209 matches the Rfam family "Eukaryotic small subunit ribosomal RNA", at positions 751 to 864 of the family's 1831-position model. Lineage: Eukaryota; Fungi. The record is from RNAcentral.